Molecule: ribosomal RNA, 508 nt
Filed under: uncultured bacterium
Lineage: Bacteria
Description: partial 16S ribosomal RNA
Rfam family: Bacterial small subunit ribosomal RNA
Source: RNAcentral
GAUGAACGCUAGCUACAGGCUUAACACAUGCAAGUCGAGGGGAAACGAUAUUGGAAGCUUGCUUCCGAUAGGCGUCGACCGGCGCACGGGUGAGUAACGCGUAUCCAACCUGCCCACCACUUGGGGAUAACCUUGCGAAAGUAAGACUAAUACCCAAUGAUAUCUCUAGAAGACAUCUGAAGGAGAUUAAAGAUUUAUCGGUGAUGGAUGGGGAUGCGUCUGAUUAGCUUGGUGGCGGGGUAACGGCCCACCAAGGCGACGAUCAGUAGGGGUUCUGAGAGGAAGGUCCCCCACAGUGGAACUGAGACACGGUCCAAACUCCUACGGGAGGCAGCAGUGAGGAAUGUUGGUCAAUGGACGAGAGUCUGAACCAGCCAAGUAGCGUGCAGGAUGACGGCCCUAUGGGUUGUAAACUGCUUUUAUAAGGGAAUAAAGUGAGCCUCGUGAGGCUUUUUGCAUGUACCUUAUGAAUAAGGACCGGCUAAUUCCGUGCCAGCCGCCGCCGUAA